RNAcentral lists this ribosomal RNA (253 nucleotides) under uncultured bacterium. RNAcentral's name for it is "partial 16S ribosomal RNA". It matches the Rfam family "Bacterial small subunit ribosomal RNA", at positions 524 to 776 of the family's 1533-position model. The record is from RNAcentral.
UACGGGGGGGGCAAGCGUUGUUCGGAAUUACUGGGCGUAAAGGGCUCGUAGGCGGCCAACUAAGUCAGACGUGAAAUCCCUCGGCUUAACCGGGGAACUGCGUCUGAUACUGGAUGGCUUGAGGUUGGGAGAGGGAUGCGGAAUUCCAGGUGUAGCGGUGAAAUGCGUAGAUAUCUGGAGGAACACCGGUGGCGAAGGCAGCUCGCUGGGACGGUACUGACGCUGAGACGCGAAAGCGUGGGGAGCAAACAGG